Molecule: non-coding RNA, 507 nt
Organism: Carassius gibelio (silver crucian carp)
Lineage: Eukaryota; Metazoa; Chordata; Actinopteri; Cypriniformes; Cyprinidae
Source: the annotation of a RefSeq genome assembly
AUGUCUUUUUCAUUCUGUAAUGAAGCACUGUGGUACACUUUUGGUGGAGGAACUAAACUGACGAUCAGAACUGGUCCCUCCGUGAAGCCCUCCGUGUCUCUGCUGCCUCCCUCUUCUCUGCAGAUCUCUGGAGACUCAGCCGCACUGCUCUGUCUGCUCAGCUCUUACUCUCCACAGGGGGCGCAGGUGAGCUGGACGCUGGACGGGUCAGAGGUCACCGAGGGGGUUCAGACCAGCGCAGAGAGCGAGCGGGACGGACGCUACAGCCGCAGCAGCGUCCUGAGCCUCAGCAAAGCACGCUGGGAAGCCGGCGAGCGCUUCGUCUGCAGAGUAACACAUGACGGAGCUGCUCAGGAGACCUCGUUCCUCAAGAGCUCCGAGUGCUGAUGUUUCUCCAGUGAAGAGCAGCAGGAUUCACAGCAGUCUCCUGAUUUACAGCUCAAUACUCAAGCAGUCUUUCAAUGUGCUGCCAUUGCUGUUCAUUCAAUAAAGCUUCUGAACGCCUUC